Long non-coding RNA from Oncorhynchus gorbuscha (pink salmon), 1733 nucleotides. RefSeq lists it as uncharacterized. The transcript is spliced from 5 exons. The record is from RefSeq and is a predicted model, not a curated record. Lineage: Eukaryota; Metazoa; Chordata; Actinopteri; Salmoniformes; Salmonidae.
GACAGCUGUGUCGGGAUAUAGGAUGGACAUAGUCCACCAAUGGAAGGUCAGGUGAAUCAGCUUGACUCCUCCCCCCCUCCCGUUCUCAUGCUAUAUGGGAUGGCCUCAGUUUUUUUUGUCUACCUUUCUCUGAAGAAGCACGAGUGGUGCGAAACGUCAGGAAUUUUUUUCUUUUAAAAUUUUAAACCAUACUCCUUUUAUCUUUCUUACCCUUGAAACAAAAGGUUUGGAUGAUGUGAAAUAGAAGAGGAUUACUCCAUUACUCCAUCUCACUAUUCCAAAAAGGACACAAUUUUUCCAACAAACAAAGAUAAGCACAUGGACCUUUGGAGACUGGUUGGGGAUGGUAUGGAAGAGCUCCUUUCUGUAUGAGAUAUCCAUUUUUCUGGGUUGGUGAGUACUCCCAAAACCACUGUGUGUACACAUGAAGAUUUUAAAGUUUGGAGUGGAUUGAAGCUGAACCACUAUCAGAAUUGAACCAUAAAGGAGUGAUCACUUGUGAAUGAAGUGUUUUUUUCCCACUUGAGAGGGGAGAGGGUUUUUUUUCCUCUCACCUUAGUGUGGAGUGCUUUCCUAGAGAGAUUGUUUUUAUGGAGUAACAACCGAACCUAUAGUGGAGAAUUCGUACGGACUGCUCUCUGGUAUACAUUCCCCUCACUCCCUCUCCUCAAACAUUUUUUUUGAGGGGUUGAGGCCUGUAUGAGGCUUAACUGCCAUUUCUGGAGCAACCACCAGAUGGCAACAGACAAGGACUUAUUGUAGGAGAAAAGGAGUUGUGAGUUGACCUCCAUCAUCACCUGUUAUAUUGGGUUUUGUUUCAUUGGAGUUUCUUUUCUAAAAUCGGGCCAAUAUUUGUUUUGUGUUUUUGGUUUAUAAUAUCAUUUUCUUAAAUGUUUUUUGUCCUCUGUGUGGGUAUAUAUAUUUCUUUGGUUGACUGGGUCUAAUUAUAUAUUGUGGGGGGAUUUUAACGUUUAUAUGAUCCCUUCUUUUAGUUGGGUUUCCCAGCAAGGGUUCCGGCUAUUGGUUCUUUACCAUGGCAGUGCCAGUACACAAUCGUUUCCAGGCUCUAGUUAACCUACAUGAUCAGGCAGGUAUGGUAAGACAGGUGAAUAAAUUGGCGGCCUUUAUUAAACCCUCCUCGCCCAACCAACAGACUCUGGCAAAGCAGGCUAAAUCCAGUUAUGCGGCUGCAGUGACUAGCAAGUCACCGACUGGCAGGGCCUUAAUGGGAGCCAAGGCCCAUAGGGACUCUGGAAUAUGCAGGAAUACUCCAGGGGGAUCGAGUGACAACUCGGACCUGCAAAGAGUGGAGGGGCUAGCUUCAGACUUACCCCAACAAUCAAGAAGAGUAAGGAGAUAUUUAAUCCCCAAACUCAAUGACCAAGAGAGAAUCUGGCCCCACCUAAAGUCCCAGCCUUGAUAAUCCCAGGUUCACAACAAGAUAACCAGCAGGGUACGGUAGCAAUGGAAAACGGAAAAGAAACGGAACCUGGGACAGAACUAAUACUGGAACCUGUAAAAAGGGAUACACUUUUUUAUCCCACAUGUCAUUCUAGAACUGAAAGGAAAAUAAAUGAUUGGAGUAUUGAGAUUACAAAACCCGUGGUUUUUAUUGGGGAUUCCAACCUUGCGCGCAUUCCUAGCUUUACGGACACUAACACACAGAUAGACAGCUUUCCGGGAGCAACCUUUAGACAUAUUGCAGGAGUGAUAGGCAAGUUGGGGAAACAGGA